GACGGAGGAUGCAAGUGUUAUCCGGAAUCACUGGGCGUAAAGCGUCUGUAGGUGGUCAAAUAAGUCAACUGUUAAAUCUUGAGGCUCAACCUCAAAACCGCAGUCGAAACUAUUAGACUAGAGUAUAGUAGGGGUAAAGGGAAUUUCCAGUGGAGCGGUGAAAUGCGUAGAUAUCGGGAGGAACACCAGUGGCGAAGGCGACUUCCUGGCCUGUUCUUGACGCUGAGGCGCGAAAGCUAGGGGAGCAAACGGG
This 253-nucleotide ribosomal RNA is filed under the name uncultured bacterium. Its description in RNAcentral is "partial 16S ribosomal RNA". It matches the Rfam family "Bacterial small subunit ribosomal RNA", at positions 524 to 776 of the family's 1533-position model. The record is from RNAcentral.